RNAcentral lists this ribosomal RNA (492 nucleotides) under uncultured bacterium. RNAcentral's name for it is "partial 16S ribosomal RNA". It matches the Rfam family "Bacterial small subunit ribosomal RNA", at positions 29 to 507 of the family's 1533-position model. The record is from RNAcentral.
AGUGAACGCUGGCGGUAGGCCUAACACAUGCAAGUCGAACGGCAGCACAGUAAGAGCUUGCUCUUACGGGUGGCGAGUGGCGGACGGGUGAGGAAUACAUCGGAAUCUACUUUUUCGUGGGGGAUAACGUAGGGAAACUUACGCUAAUACCGCAUACGACCUACGGGUGAAAGCAGGGGAUCUUCGGACCUUGCGCGAUUGAAUGAGCCGAUGUCGGAUUAGCUAGUUGGCGGGGUUAAGGCCCACCAAGGCGACGAUCCGUAGCUGGUCUGAGAGGAUGAUCAGCCACACUGGAACUGAGACACGGUCCAGACUCCUACGGGAGGCAGCAGUGGGGAAUAUUGGGCAAAGGGCGCAAGCCUGAUCCAGCCAUACCGCGUGGGUGAAGAAGGCCUUCGGGUUGUAAAGCCCUUUUGUUGGGAAAGAAAAGCAGCAGGUUAAUACCCCGCUGUUCUGACGGUACCCAAAGAAUAAGCACCGGCUAACUUCGUG